Molecule: small nuclear RNA, 104 nt
Filed under: Ephestia kuehniella (Mediterranean flour moth)
Lineage: Eukaryota; Metazoa; Arthropoda; Insecta; Lepidoptera; Pyralidae
Description: partial U2
Rfam family: U2 spliceosomal RNA
About the family: U2 is a small nuclear RNA (snRNA) component of the spliceosome (involved in pre-mRNA splicing).
Source: RNAcentral
UUUUCAGCUUAAUAUCUGAAAGUUCCCCCACUGGGGGACCAGUAUAUUAAACUGAUUUUUGUAAACCGACGGGAUGUUCGGGGCUCGCUCCACUCCCGUCACGG